RNAcentral lists this transfer RNA (68 nucleotides) under human gut metagenome. It matches the Rfam family "tRNA". Rfam says of the family: Transfer RNA (tRNA) molecules are approximately 80 nucleotides in length. RNAcentral also lists the same sequence under 2 other names. The record is from RNAcentral.
CGGAUAUAGUUCAUCGGUAGAACGACGGCUUCCCAAGCCGUAGAGGUGGGUUCGAUUCCCAUUAUCCG